CCUACGGGUGGCAGCAGUGGGGAAUAUUGCACAAUGGGGGAAACCCUGAUGCAGCGACGCCGCGUGAGUGAAGAAGUAAUUCGGUAUGUAAAGCUCUAGCAGCAGGGAAGAAAAUGACGGUACCUGAGUAAGAAGCACCGGCUAACUACGUGCCAGCAGCCGCGGUAAUACGUGGGGGGCAAGCGUUAUCCGGAUUUACUGGGUGUAAAGGGAGCGUAGACGGCAGUGCAAGUCUGGAGGGAAAGGCGGGGGCUCAACCCCCGGACUGCUCUGGAAACUGUACGGCUGGAGUGCAGGAGAGGUAAGUGGAAUUCCUGGUGUAGCGGUGAAAUGCGUAGAUAUUAGGAGGAACACCAGUGGCGAAGGCGGCUUACUGGACUGUAACUGACGUUGAGGCUCGAAAGCGUGGGGAGCAAACAGGAUUAGAUACCCGGGUAGUC
This 440-nucleotide ribosomal RNA is filed under the name uncultured bacterium. RNAcentral's name for it is "partial 16S ribosomal RNA". It matches the Rfam family "Bacterial small subunit ribosomal RNA", at positions 338 to 795 of the family's 1533-position model. The record is from RNAcentral.